RNAcentral lists this ribosomal RNA (253 nucleotides) under uncultured bacterium. RNAcentral describes it as "partial 16S ribosomal RNA". It matches the Rfam family "Bacterial small subunit ribosomal RNA", at positions 524 to 776 of the family's 1533-position model. The record is from RNAcentral.
GACAGAGGGUGCAAACGUUGUUCGGAAUUAUUGGGCGUAAAGAGCUCGUAGGCGGUUUGUCGCGUCUGCUGUGAAAGCCCGGGGCUCAACCCCGGGUCUGCAGUGGGUACGGGCAGACUGGAGUGCAGUAGGGGAGACUGGAAUUCCUGGUGUAGCGGUGAAAUGCGCAGAUAUCAGGAGGAACACCGAUGGCGAAGGCAGGUCUCUGGGCUGUAACUGACGCUGAGGAGCGAAAGCAUGGGGAGCGAACAGG